Molecule: ribosomal RNA, 1090 nt
Filed under: Triticum aestivum (bread wheat)
Lineage: Eukaryota; Viridiplantae; Streptophyta; Magnoliopsida; Poales; Poaceae
Description: partial small subunit ribosomal RNA
Source: RNAcentral
GCAGGCAUCUCAUGUCUAGCCUGCCGCGUGUACCUCUCCCCUCUUGCGGUCGUCACCUAUUAGGCGAGCCUAGCGGAGACCAGGUUUAGGUUUGGGGAGGAGGGAAAAUCGUAGCGGCCGUCGCUGCUGCCGGUACGAGAGGCGGCGGCGGAGCCGGUAAGGGUCCGAGGCGACCCGGCGGCGCGGCGGCCCCGUGCGGAGCGGCUCGUGGGCCACCAGAGACGACGCCGCCGCGGGCGAGAGGAGGAGGGGCUUGCGUCGCGGGUGGCACCCCGGCCCCGGGGACCUCGGCGGCCUGGAAGGGGCGGAGCGGUUGAGGCGGGCGUAUAGAGAGAGCGGCGUUCUCCGACUCCUCAAGCGCGGGUUCUAAGUCGUCCACCACCUGACCAAACCCGUUGAAGUUCGCCAACUAGAACUCAGGUAACUCGGAAGUGAAUCUCGACUAUGACGUCGACCAUCAAGAAAUUCUCUUCUAUUCCGCCUUGGUAAACGAUUGUCUCUACGGUAUUAUCUCCGGGAAGGCUCAAUACUACUAGGUAUGUAGUUUCACGGUUUACGCGACUGGUUUCUUACUGUACACCCAGACAUUUAGUUUCAAUACUAUAACAAUUGUAAGAUAAAGUAAUAUGUUACUCCGUACCACUUAGUUGACUCGAACGUUUCGUAGCUCGCUCGUUAGUUGUUCGGACUCAAUUCAAACUGUAGGAGCCGAUCUUGUCAUGCUGAGUUGUUAAACUCGCUACCUAGACGUCACGGACGUUGUCUUCUAGGUAGGAACGCACGGUAGUACGAAAGCCUGGUUUAUGUACAGUAAAAGAAUUAUACGAAAAUAAAUACAAAGACCUUACACCCCCGAAGAUCGCGAUAGUGAUACGGAGGGUUUGCCGCUAUCCAAAGUACACUACGAUAGUGGACCAUUAAACAGAAGUCAAACAAUUAGGACAUUCAAAAGACCCAAUCCGACUUGGAGCCCUGAAUAGCACGAAAGACAAACUCAAAAGACGUCCAAAAUCGAAAAAUUAGGACAUUUUAUAAGACCCAAUCCACCUUAAGAUACAAAGUUAAAACGUAACCGGUCUAGUACAAGGGU